UAUACAUGCAAGUCGAGCGAAUGGAUUGAGAGCUUGCUCUCAAGAAGUUAGCGGCGGACGGGUGAGUAACACGUGGGUAACCUGCCCAUAAGACUGGGAUAACUCCGGGAAACCGGGGCUAAUACCGGAUAACAUUUUGAACUGCAUGGUUCGAAAUUGAAAGGCGGCUUCGGCUGUCACUUAUGGAUGGACCCGCGUCGCAUUAGCUAGUUGGUGAGGUAACGGCUCACCAAGGCAACGAUGCGUAGCCGACCUGAGAGGGUGAUCGGCCACACUGGGACUGAGACACGGCCCAGACUCCUACGGGAGGCAGCAGUAGGGAAUCUUCCGCAAUGGACGAAAGUCUGACGGAGCAACGCCGCGUGAGUGAUGAAGGCUUUCGGGUCGUAAAACUCUGUUGUUAGGGAAGAACAAGUGCUAGUUGAAUAAGCUGGCACCUUGACGGUACCUAACCAGAAAGCCACGGCUAACUACGUGCCAGCAGCCGCGGUAAUACGUAGGUGGCAAGCGUUAUCCGGAAUUAUUGGGCGUAAAGCGCGCGCAGGUGGUUUCUUAAGUCUGAUGUGAAAGCCCACGGCUCAACCGUGGAGGGUCAUUGGAAACUGGGAGACUUGAGUGCAGAAGAGGAAAGUGGAAUUCCAUGUGUAGCGGUGAAAUGCGUAGAGAUAUGGAGGAACACCAGUGGCGACGCGACUUUCUGGUCUGUAACUGACACUGAGGCGCGAAAGCGUGGGGA
This 736-nucleotide ribosomal RNA is filed under the name Bacillus cereus. RNAcentral's name for it is "bacterial SSU rRNA". It matches the Rfam family "Bacterial small subunit ribosomal RNA", at positions 50 to 767 of the family's 1533-position model. Lineage: Bacteria; Bacillati; Bacillota; Bacilli; Caryophanales; Bacillaceae. The record is from RNAcentral.